This 74-nucleotide transfer RNA is filed under the name Serratia marcescens. RNAcentral describes it as "tRNA-Met". It matches the Rfam family "tRNA". From Rfam's summary of the family: Transfer RNA (tRNA) molecules are approximately 80 nucleotides in length. Their secondary structure includes four short double-helical elements and three loops (D, anti-codon, and T loops). Lineage: Bacteria; Pseudomonadati; Pseudomonadota; Gammaproteobacteria; Enterobacterales; Yersiniaceae. The record is from RNAcentral.
CGCGGGGUGGAGCAGCCUGGUAGCUCGUCGGGCUCAUAACCCGAAGGUCGUCGGUUCAAAUCCGGCCCCCGCGG